UCCAGACUCCUACGGGAGGCAGCAGUGGGGAAUAUUGCACAAUGGGGGGAACCCUGAUGCAGCGACGCCGCGUGGGUGAAGAAGUCAUUCGUGACGUAAAGCCCUAUCAGCAGGGAAGAAAAUGACGGUACCUGACUAAGAAGCCCCGGCUAACUACGUGCCAGCAGCCGCGGUAAUACGUAGGGGGCAAGCGUUAUCCGGAUUUACUGGGUGUAAAGGGAGCGUAGACGGCGGCGCAAGUCCGGAGUGAAAGCCCGCGGCCCAACCGUGGGACUGCUCUGGAAACUGUGCGGCUUGAGUGCGGGAGGGGCAGGCGGAAUUCCUAGUGUAGCGGUGAAAUGCGUAGAUAUUAGGAGGAACACCAGUGGCGAAGGCGGCUUACUGGACAGUAACUGACGUUGAGGCUCGAAAGCGUGGGGAGCAAACAGGAUUAGAUACCCCCGUAGC
Molecule: ribosomal RNA, 447 nt
Filed under: uncultured bacterium
Lineage: Bacteria
Description: partial 16S ribosomal RNA
Rfam family: Bacterial small subunit ribosomal RNA
Source: RNAcentral